CCAGAGGGCCGGGCGGCCGCCGGUUCCCCUUCGUGGGGGACGGGAGGAAAGUCCGGGCUCCAAGAAGCAACGGUGCCGGGUAACACCCGGCGGCCCCGGCGCAGGCCGGGGUUAGGGACAGUGCCACAGAAAGCAUACCGCCCGGCGGGCUUCGGCUCCGGGUAAGGGCGAAAGGGUGCGGUAAGAGCGCACCGCGGGCCGGGUAACCGGAACGGCAUGGUAAACCCCACCGGGAGCAAGACCGAAUAGGGACGGCAUAUGGGCUCGCUUCGCCCCGUCGUCCGGGUUGGUUGCUUGAGACCGCGGGCAACCGCGGUCCUAGAGGAAUGGUCGCCCAUCCGGCUUCGUGCCGGUGGACAGAACCCGGCUUAUAGGCCCUCUGGCGUU
RNAcentral lists this RNase P RNA (387 nucleotides) under Edaphosphingomonas laterariae. RNAcentral describes it as "Sphingomonas sp. LNB2 Bacterial RNase P class A". It matches the Rfam family "Bacterial RNase P class A". Rfam says of the family: Ribonuclease P (RNase P) is a ubiquitous endoribonuclease, found in archaea, bacteria and eukarya as well as chloroplasts and mitochondria. Its best characterised activity is the generation of mature 5'-ends of tRNAs by cleaving the 5'-leader elements of precursor-tRNAs. Lineage: Bacteria; Pseudomonadati; Pseudomonadota; Alphaproteobacteria; Sphingomonadales; Rhizorhabdaceae. The record is from Rfam by way of RNAcentral.